UAAGUUAGAAAGGGCGCACGGUGGAUGCCUUGACACUAGGAGUCGAUGAAGGACGGGACUAACGCCGAUAUGCUUCGGGGAGCUGUAAGUAAGCUUUGAUCCGAAGAUUUCCGAAUGGGGAAACCCACCAUACGUAAUGGUAUGGUAUCCUUAUCUGAAUACAUAGGGUAAGGAAGACAGACCCAGGGAACUGAAACAUCUAAGUACCUGGAGGAAGAGAAAGCAAAUGCGAUUUCCUGAGUAGCGGCGAGCGAAACGGAACAUAGCCCAAACCAAGAGGCUUGCCUCUUGGGGUUGUAGGACAUUCUAUACGGAGUUACAAAGGAACGAGGUAGACGAAGCGACCUGGAAAGGUCCGUCGUAGAGGGUAACAACCCCGUAGUCGAAACUUCGUUCUCUCUUGAAUGUAUCCUGAGUACGGCGGAACACGUGAAAUUCCGUCGGAAUCUGGGAGGACCAUCUCCCAAGGCUAAAUACUCCCUAGUGAUCGAUAGUGAACCAGUACCGUGAGGGAAAGGUGAAAAGCACCCCGGAAGGGGAGUGAAAGAGAUCCUGAAACCGUGUGCCUACAAAUAGUCAGAGCCCGUUAACGGGUGAUGGCGUGCCUUUUGUAGAAUGAACCGGCGAGUUACGAUCCCGUGCGAGGUUAAGCUGAAGAGGCGGAGCCGCAGCGAAAGCGAGUCUGAAUAGGGCGUUUAGUACGUGGUCGUAGACCCGAAACCAGGUGAUCUACCCAUGUCCAGGGUGAAGUUCAGGUAACACUGAAUGGAGGCCCGAACCCACGCACGUUGAAAAGUGCGGGGAUGAGGUGUGGGUAGCGGAGAAAUUCCAAUCGAACCUGGAGAUAGCUGGUUCUCCCCGAAAUAGCUUUAGGGCUAGCCUUAAGUGUAAGAGUCUUGGAGGUAGAGCACUGAUUGGACUAGGGGUCCUCAUCGGAUUACCGAAUUCAGUCAAACUCCGAAUGCCAAUGACUUAUCCUUAGGAGUCAGACUGCGAGUGAUAAGAUCCGUAGUCAAAAGGGAAACAGCCCAGACCGCCAGCUAAGGUCCCAAAGUGUGUAUUAAGUGGAAAAGGAUGUGGAGUUGCUUAGACAACUAGGAUGUUGGCUUAGAAGCAGCCACCAUUUAAAGAGUGCGUAAUAGCUCACUAGUCGAGUGACUCUGCGCCGAAAAUGUACCGGGGCUAAAUACACCACCGAAGCUGCGGAUUGAUACCGAAUGGUAUCAGUGGUAGGGGAGCGUUCUAAGGACAGUGAAGUCAGACCGUAAGGACUGGUGGAGUGCUUAGAAGUGAGAAUGCCGGUAUGAGUAGCGAAAGACGGGUGAGAAUCCCGUCCACCGAAUGCCUAAGGUUUCCUGAGGAAGGCUCGUCCGCUCAGGGUUAGUCAGGACCUAAGCCGAGGCCGACAGGCGUAGGCGAUGGACAACAGGUUGAUAUUCCUGUACCACCUCUUUAUCGUUUGAGCAAUGGAGGGACGCAGAAGGAUAGAAGAAGCGUGCGAUUGGUUGUGCACGUCCAAGCAGUUAGGCUGAUAAGUAGGCAAAUCCGCUUAUCAUAAAGGCUGAGCUGUGAUGGGGAAGCUCCUUAUGGAGCGAAGUCUUUGAUUCCCCGCUGCCAAGAAAAGCUUCUAGCGAGAUAAAAGGUGCCUGUACCGCAAACCGACACAGGUAGGCGAGGAGAGAAUCCUAAGGUGUGCGAGAGAACUCUGGUUAAGGAACUCGGCAAAAUGACCCCGUAACUUCGGGAGAAGGGGUGCUUUCUUAACGGAAAGCCGCAGUGAAUAGGCCCAAGCGACUGUUUAGCAAAAACACAGCUCUCUGCGAAGCCGUAAGGCGAAGUAUAGGGGGUGACACCUGCCCGGUGCUGGAAGGUUAAGGAGAGGGGUUAGCGUAAGCGAAGCUCUGAACUGAAGCCCCAGUAAACGGCGGCCGUAACUAUAACGGUCCUAAGGUAGCGAAAUUCCUUGUCGGGUAAGUUCCGACCCGCACGAAAGGUGUAACGAUUUGGGCACUGUCUCAACCAGAGACUCGGUGAAAUUAUAGUACCUGUGAAGAUGCAGGUUACCCGCGACAGGACGGAAAGACCCCGUGGAGCUUUACUGUAGCCUGAUAUUGAAUUUUGGUACAGUUUGUACAGGAUAGGCGGGAGCCAUUGAAACCGGAGCGCUAGCUUCGGUGGAGGCGCUGGUGGGAUACCGCCCUGACUGUAUUGAAAUUCUAACCUACGGGUCUUAUCGACCCGGGAGACAGUGUCAGGUGGGCAGUUUGACUGGGGCGGUCGCCUCCUAAAGUGUAACGGAGGCGCCCAAAGGUUCCCUCAGAAUGGUUGGAAAUCAUUCGUAGAGUGCAAAGGCAUAAGGGAGCUUGACUGCGAGACCUACAAGUCGAGCAGGGACGAAAGUCGGGCUUAGUGAUCCGGUGGUUCCGCAUGGAAGGGCCAUCGCUCAACGGAUAAAAGCUACCCCGGGGAUAACAGGCUUAUCUCCCCCAAGAGUCCACAUCGACGGGGAGGUUUGGCACCUCGAUGUCGGCUCAUCGCAUCCUGGGGCUGUAGUCGGUCCCAAGGGUUGGGCUGUUCGCCCAUUAAAGCGGUACGCGAGCUGGGUUCAGAACGUCGUGAGACAGUUCGGUCCCUAUCCGUCGUGGGCGUAGGAAAUUUGAGAGGAGCUGUCCUUAGUACGAGAGGACCGGGAUGGACGCACCGCUGGUGUACCAGUUGUUCUGCCAAGGGCAUAGCUGGGUAGCUAUGUGCGGAAGGGAUAAGUGCUGAAAGCAUCUAAGCAUGAAGCCCCCCUCAAGAUGAGAUUUCCCAUAGCGUAAGCUAGUAAGAUCCCUGAAAGAUGAUCAGGUUGAUAGGUUCGAGGUGGAAGCAUGGUGACAUGUGGAGCUGACGAAUACUAAUAGAUCGAGGACUUAACCA
This 2919-nucleotide ribosomal RNA is filed under the name Bacillus thuringiensis serovar kurstaki. RNAcentral describes it as "bacterial LSU rRNA". It matches the Rfam family "Bacterial large subunit ribosomal RNA". Lineage: Bacteria; Bacillati; Bacillota; Bacilli; Caryophanales; Bacillaceae. The record is from RNAcentral.